Non-coding RNA from Ciona savignyi (Pacific transparent sea squirt), 119 nucleotides. NCBI's taxonomy places the organism in Eukaryota, Metazoa, Chordata, Ascidiacea, Phlebobranchia, Cionidae. The record is from Rfam.
GCUUAUCACCAUUCCAGAUUGAAUAUACCCGAUCUCGUCUGAUCUCGGAAGGCAAGCAAUCUCGGGCUUGGUUAGUACUUGGUUGGGUGACCGCUUGGGAAUACCAAGUGUGAUAAGCA